Molecule: ribosomal RNA, 518 nt
Filed under: uncultured bacterium
Lineage: Bacteria
Description: bacterial SSU rRNA
Rfam family: Bacterial small subunit ribosomal RNA
Source: RNAcentral
UGACCACCCAAGAGAUUGGGUUUUCCCUUCGGGGACAGAGUGACAGGUGGUGCAUGGUUGUCGUCAGCUCGUGUCGUGAGAUGUUGGGUUAAGUCCCGCAACGAGCGCAACCCUUAUUGUCAGUUGCCAGCAUUCAGUUGGGCACUCUGGCGAGACUGCCGGUGACAAACCGGAGGAAGGUGGGGAUGACGUCAAAUCAUCAUGCCCCUUAUGGCCUGGGCUACACACGUGCUACAAUGGAUGGUACAACGAGUUGCGAGACCGCGAGGUUCAGCUAAUCUCCUAAAGCCAUUCUCAGUUCGGAUUGCAGGCUGCAACUCGCCUGCAUGAAGCCGGAAUCGCUAGUAAUCGCGGAUCAGCAUGCCGCGGUGAAUACGUUCCCGGGUCUUGUACACACCGCCCGUCACACCACGAGAGUCUGUAACACCCGAAGUCGGUGCGGCAACCCUUACGGGAGCCAGCCGCCGAAGGUGGGAUGGAUGAUUGGGGUGAAGUCGUAACAAGGUAAGCGUAGCGAG